GUAGCUCAGUUGGUAGAGUACUUGCCUAGCAUACAUGAAACCCUAGGUUCAAUUCCUAGC
Molecule: transfer RNA, 60 nt
Filed under: Mus musculus (house mouse)
Lineage: Eukaryota; Metazoa; Chordata; Mammalia; Rodentia; Muridae
Rfam family: tRNA
About the family: Transfer RNA (tRNA) molecules are approximately 80 nucleotides in length. Their secondary structure includes four short double-helical elements and three loops (D, anti-codon, and T loops).
Source: Rfam by way of RNAcentral